CGGCCGUACCAUGAAUAUACCGGUUCUCGUUAGAUCACCGAAGUCAAGCAUCAUUGGGCGCGGUCAGUACUUGGGUGGGUGACCA
This 85-nucleotide ribosomal RNA is filed under the name Caerostris extrusa. Lineage: Eukaryota; Metazoa; Arthropoda; Arachnida; Araneae; Araneidae. The record is from RNAcentral.